This 1127-nucleotide ribosomal RNA is filed under the name uncultured bacterium. RNAcentral describes it as "bacterial SSU rRNA". It matches the Rfam family "Bacterial small subunit ribosomal RNA", at positions 26 to 1154 of the family's 1533-position model. The record is from RNAcentral.
AGAAACAUGGCGGCAGCCUUACAAUGCAGUCGAACGGCAGCACGGACUUCGGUCUGGUGGCGAGUGGCGAACGGGUGAGUAAUGCAUCGGAACGUGCCAUUGAGUGGGGGAUAACGUAGCGAAAGUUGCGCUAAUACCGCAUAUUCUGUGAGCAGGAAAGCAGGGGACCGCAAGGCCUUGCGCUCUUUGAGCGGCCGAUGUCAGAUUAGCUAGUUGGUGAGGUAAAGGCUUACCAAGGCGACGAUCUGUAGCGGGUCUGAGAGGAUGAUCCGCCACACUGGAACUGAGACACGGUCCAGACUCCUACGGGAGGCAGCAGUGGGGAAUUUUGGACAAUGGGGGCAACCCUGAUCCAGCCAUGCCGCGUGAGUGAAGAAGGCCUUCGGGUUGUAAAGCUCUUUCGGCCGGGAAGAAAUCGCAUGGGCCAAUACCCUGUGUGGAUGACGGUACCGGAAUAAGAAGCACCGGCUAACUACGUGCCAGCAGCCGCGGUAAUACGUAGGGUGCGAGCGUUAAUCGGAAUUACUGGGCGUAAAGCGUGCGCAGGCGGUUUUGUAAGACAGGCGUGAAAUCCCCGGGCUUAACCUGGGAACUGCGUUUGUGACUGCAAGGCUAGAGUACGGCAGAGGGGGGUGGAAUUCCACGUGUAGCAGUGAAAUGCGUAGAGAUGUGGAGGAACACCAAUGGCGAAGGCAGCCCCCUGGGUCGAUACUGACGCUCAUGCACGAAAGCGUGGGUAGCAAACAGGAUUAGAUACCCUGGUAGUCCACGCCCUAAACUAUGUCAACUAGGUGUUGGGUGGGUAAAACCAUUUAGUACCGUAGCUAACGCGUGAAGUUGACCGCCUGGGGAGUACGGCCGCAAGGUUAAAACUCAAAGGAAUUGACGGGGACCCGCACAAGCGGUGGAUGAUGUGGAUUAAUUCGAUGCAACGCGAAAAACCUUACCUACCCUUGACAUGCCAGGAACUUGCCAGAGAUGGCUUGGUGCCCGAAAGGGAGCCUGGACACAGUGCUGCAUGGCUGUCGUCAGCUCGUGUCGUGAGAUGUUGGGUUAAGUCCCGCAACGAGCGCAACCCUUGUCGUUAAUUGCCAUCAUUUAGUUGGGCCACUUUAACGAGACUGCCC